RNAcentral lists this small RNA (90 nucleotides) under Chishuiella changwenlii. RNAcentral describes it as "Flavo-1 RNA". It matches the Rfam family "Flavo-1 RNA". The record is from RNAcentral. Lineage: Bacteria; Pseudomonadati; Bacteroidota; Flavobacteriia; Flavobacteriales; Weeksellaceae.
UCGCAAUAAGGAUUGCAAUGGAAAUCCUUUUUUAGAAACUGAGGUAUCGAAGUUGCUAAUAAAAGAUUGAAAUGAAAAGCCUGACCCGUA